GAGUUUGAUCUUGGCUCAGAUUGAACGCUGGCGGCAUGCCUUACACAUGCAAGUCGAACGGCAGCACGGGAGCUUGCUCCUGGUGGCGAGUGGCGAACGGGUGAGUAAUGCAUCGGAACGUAUCCUGGAGUGGGGGAUAACGUAGCGAAAGUUACGCUAAUACCGCAUAUUCUGUGAGCAGGAAAGCGGGGGACCUUCGGGCCUCGCGCUCUUGGAGCGGCCGAUGUCGGAUUAGCUAGUUGGUGGGGUAAAGGCUCACCAAAGGCGACGAUCCGUAGCAGGUCUGAGAGGAUGAUCUGCCACACUGGAACUGAGACACGGUCCAGACUCCUACGGGAGGCAGCAGUGGGAUUUUGGACAAUGGGGGCAACCCUGAUCCAGCCAUGCCGCGUGAGUGAAGAAGGCC
This 406-nucleotide ribosomal RNA is filed under the name bacterium enrichment culture clone ALO1_GLFRUDD03G2BES. RNAcentral describes it as "bacterial SSU rRNA". It matches the Rfam family "Bacterial small subunit ribosomal RNA", at positions 9 to 416 of the family's 1533-position model. The record is from RNAcentral.